This 237-nucleotide ribosomal RNA is filed under the name uncultured bacterium. RNAcentral describes it as "partial 16S ribosomal RNA". It matches the Rfam family "Bacterial small subunit ribosomal RNA", at positions 524 to 760 of the family's 1533-position model. The record is from RNAcentral.
UACAGAGGGUGCGAACGUUGCUCGGAAUUACUGGGCGUAAAGCGCGUGUAGGCGGCUCGUUAAGUCUGCUGUGAAAGCCCGUGGCUCAACCACGGAAGUGCAGCAGAAACUGGCGAGCUUGAGUCCUGGAGAGGGUGGCGGAAUUCCCAGUGUAGAGGUGAAAUUCGUAGAUAUUGGGAGGAACACCGGUGGCGAAGGCGGCCGCCUGGACAGGUACUGACGCUGAGACGCGAAAGC